Molecule: long non-coding RNA, 538 nt
Filed under: Malus domestica (apple)
Lineage: Eukaryota; Viridiplantae; Streptophyta; Magnoliopsida; Rosales; Rosaceae
Description: long non-coding RNA (MDOM_LNC012224)
Source: RNAcentral
AAUCAACAAAUAUAAACAACCUAGUUCCUAUACCAAAAGCUCCAAGGUAGUCGAGAAGGAUUUAUAAACCGUCAAAGUUGAAUGGUUUGAACUUUAUGACUAUGUCAUAGAGUUGCACCUUUUAAUUCGAAAGAAAUAAGAAUGAAAAUCCUUAUGACUACAUUGAGUGUAUAUAUGAUAUAUACUCAAGGAAAUGGUAAAGUACCAUUUGACCCGAAAUAAUGAAACCCCCAUAGCUAAUUGGUAGCUUAAGGUGACUGCAAUCAAAGAGAAUGGUUGACUUUGAAGAAACCAUCUUUGACGUAGUCUUGUUUUUCAAUUAAUUCGAAGAUAGCUAGCUACAACUAAAUGGUGAUUCAAUGUUUGGACAUUAUAUGGGUUUCCGAAACCAUUAUUAAGAUAGUCUUGAUAAUAUAUAUGUCUAAAACUAUGAAUCACAAGACAUAUAAGUUGUAGAGAUCCAACCAUCAUGAAUCUUAGCAAGCUAGUGGGAGCUAUAAGCAUCUUAUGAGAAAAGGAUCAAAUCGUUUGAUUUCUC